UUGUAAAAGUACAAGGUCCCAAUGAUGAAUGUAACAGUAUUGUAUACCUAAAAUGUACCAAUAAAAUUAAUGAAUAAAAAAAGAAAUACCUAGGCAUUAAUUUAAUCAAGGAAGUGAAAGACCUGUAUAAAGAAAAUUGUAGUGCUCUGGAAAAAGGACAUUGAAGAGGACAUCAGGUAAUGGAAAGAUGUUCCCUGCUCCUGGGUAGGCAGAACAGAUUUUGUCAAAAUGGCCAUACUCCCAAAACUGUUCUGCAGAUUCAAUGCAGUCCCAAUUAAAACGCCAGCAGCAUACUUUACAGAUCCAAAGAAAACAAUCCUAAAAUUCAUAUGAAAGCAGAAGAGACCCAGAAGUGCAAAAGCAAUCUUAGGCAACAAGAGCAAAGCAGGAGGCAUCACCAUUCCUGUCCUCCACUUUACUACAAAGCAACGGUAAUAACAACAGCGUCAAACUGGAGCCAUUACCAACACGCGGCUCAAUGGAACAAAGUAGAGGAUUCCGAAACAUCCCCAGACAAAUUCAGCCAUUCAUUCGAUCUUGGACAAAGGGACCAAAAGCAUACUUUGGAGGAAAGAGAGCUUAUUCAGCAAAUGGUUCUGGGAAAACUGGAUAACUGCAGAAGAUUGAAACUGUACUCAAAUCCCUCCCCUACUGGGGGUGACGUUAUUUUUUAUGAAAGUGUUGGAGCAAGAGUAGCAGAGGCAUCCACUUCCUGCCUCGUCUUAAUGGGACAUCUUGGUGAAUUGAGACUUAACCUAAACCAUGUUGAUUCAAGCAGAAAACAGACACAUUAUCUUAUUAUGUCUUUUAUAUGUGCGUGUGCAAAUGUUCACCCUCACGUCCACAAACGUUUCUCAUUUAGAGAAAAUCACACUCGCCUGGCUUUGUUACUUAGCCAAGCACAGAAAGGCCAUCACCUGAUUCAAUGAGUUCCAGACUCUGUACAAGUCUGACAAGGCUCACAGGGACAGGCUCCAGUUUGGAUAUCUCCCUAAUGGGGAAGUCGUAACUGUUGCUUCCUUGGGCACUACUAUGGAGGUAUGGCUAUAAAAACUACAUAACUCUUCACCCACAGAAUAUCAAAUAAAUAAUAGAGGAAAAGAACCCUUGCAUAUAUGAAUAUUGGAUUUGCUGUACAUAUGCUGUUUUUCACUCAGAUUUUCUCCACCAUGCACUUUGAUGUCAAUGUCAAUUAGAUAAUCUUUUUCCUCCAAGUAUCACCAGGGUAAAAAAUAAAAAAGUAAACAAAAUGUCCUUGUAGUAAAUCAACUGUCAGAAUACCCUUGGCCUGAAAGAUAUUGCUUGGGGUCUUUUUCAGAAGCUUGGAAAAUGGCUAUAUAUGGAAGUCCCUGAUUCGCUCUGUUGAUAGAAAAUGUAGCAGGGAAUGAGUAAUGGCCUGUGACACAAACUGUGGAGGGACUCACAGGACAAGGUCUACAGAGCUGGAGGUCUACAUCUGGAGACAACCGCACAGACACAUUUCCCAGACAAGGUGAUCGAUCCAUCAACUUUGCCAGCAAGAACACACAACUGUACGAACCUCUGAUUUGAUUCUUCAGCGCUUCUCUCCGACCUGUGAAAACAUGACACAUGUAGUCCGAUGUCAACACCUUUGGGGAGAAUUACAUAGAGUAACCGGGGAAAGCUUUUAAUCUGUAAGACGUAAGUCAAAUAUUACCCUCUGAGUUCAAUUAUUAAUCUUCUUUCUUGUUCACUAUCCUGAAAAGCUUCCCAAAGCGUAAUGACAUAAAACUUGAGAUUAUGGCCCCUCCAAAUGUUUUUUGUAACUUUUUAGGCCCGCAGGUUUUGAAAACUAGAACUGAACCACACGUGAAUGUGAGUAUUUAUCUCACCUGAGCUCGGGUCUGUUAAGCACUAGCCAUCAGUAACAUGUAGUUUUCCUAUCUGUUUCUGUCUUCUUUCAUUAUGAUCAAGUCAGUGGUCCUGUUUCCCUCUCUGUGAUCUGAUUGUUGGGGUUUCACACAAUCUUUUGUCUGAUGUUACUCAUGUGAUCAGAUUAUAAUUUGAGAGAUUCUUCCUCCUUUGUAAGUACAAAACCAAGCCUCACAAUUCCAUCACCAACACUAAGGGCAGUGAGAAAGUCAUUGCAUUCCACAGCUGGGCCCUGUUACAGAUUUAUAUGGCUGAUCCUUCCUCCAGGCAGAAGUUACCUCCACUUUGCUAUGGGGGGCUUUAAAUGACUUGUCCAAAUCUUGUCCACAUAGAUUACUUUCCACGGCAUCUCUGGGUGGUUUCUGUGUUCUCAUGAUGACUUAUUAACCACAAUUGCUGUAUCUCUUUUUGAAAGUUACUGAGUGAACUGGGUAACAGCUAGAAGCCAGGUCGGUGGGAAUGGAAAGAUACAUCACUGUGUAUUAUGCACCAGCAUCCACAGCGUAUUCAGAACAAAUCCAUGUCCAGGCUGACCACCCAAGUGAAUGCUGGAAAGACAAACAUGGUUUAAUAACGUUUAUUUUUAAAAGAAAUGAAUUUAAUUUUAUUAUGUUAUAAAAUUAAGACAUGCUACUUAUAGCAAUUUUGAUAAUGAAAAUAUGUAGUCUGCUAGCUCUUGACAGCAAUUAUCUGGUAUGUGGCCUCUCCUUAUACCCUUUAUGAUUGCAUAUUUAUCAACUGUAUUACUUUGUAUUUCUUCCAUAUUUAUUAAAAUCUAUUA
Non-coding RNA from Heterocephalus glaber (naked mole-rat), 2674 nucleotides. Lineage: Eukaryota; Metazoa; Chordata; Mammalia; Rodentia; Bathyergidae. The record is from RefSeq and is a predicted model, not a curated record.